Molecule: ribosomal RNA, 586 nt
Filed under: uncultured bacterium
Lineage: Bacteria
Description: bacterial SSU rRNA
Rfam family: Bacterial small subunit ribosomal RNA
Source: RNAcentral
GAGAGUUUGAUCAUGGCUCAGAAUGAACGCUAGCGGCAUGGAUUAGGCAUGCAAGUUGAACGCACUACCUAGUAGUGAGUGGCGAACGGGUGAGUAACAUGUGAGUAAUCUGGCUUUAAGCCGGGAAUAACUUUAGGAAACUGAAGCUAAUACCCGAUGAGACUAAAUUGAUGCAUAUUGAAUUAGUGAAAGGAUUUAUCCGCUUAGAGAUGAGCUCGCACCCCAUUAGCUAGUUGGUAAGGUAACGGCUUACCAAGGCGAAGACGGGUAGGUGGUCUGAGAGGAUGGUCACCCACACUGGAACUGAGAUACUGUCCAGACUCCUACGGGAGGCUGCAGUCGAGAAUCUUCCGCAAUGCACGAAAGUGUGACGGAGCAAUGCCGCGUGAAGGAUGAAUGUCUUCGGAUUGUAAACUUCUGUCAGGGGUGAAAAACUAUGAUGGUAGCCCCAGAGGAAGCCACGGCUAACUACGUGCCAGCAGCCGCGGUAAUACGUAGGUGGCGAGCGUUAUUCGGAUUUACUGGGCGUAAAGGGUCCGUAGGGGGAUAUAUAAGUUUGAUGUGAAAUUUCAGGGCUUAACCCUGA